Molecule: long non-coding RNA, 616 nt
Organism: Mesocricetus auratus (golden hamster)
Lineage: Eukaryota; Metazoa; Chordata; Mammalia; Rodentia; Cricetidae
Exons: 3
Source: RefSeq, a predicted model, not a curated record
UAGAUAGUUAUCUCUCAGGCGGAUGGCGUAUGAGCCGGCUGAGAACGUUCUGUGGAAUUCUGAGAAUGGAGACAGUGAUGCAGGGAAGGACUCUGGCUGUCGCUGUUUUCCCACUUGUCUCUUGCUGCCCUCCACUAGCAGUCUACCAAGGGGACCUCCUAAAGGACGGGAGCCCAGGAGGCUGCAAAGACUACAGAAGACCAGAGGAUGUGGGAGAGGCGUGUUCGCUGGCUUGGACUAAGUGAAUUAAGACGGUAGCUGCAGGCCAGGGAUCUCAUCCCUGACUGUACAGCAGGCUCGCCCAGGCACCUCAGAAACAAGAAGGCCCUCAGGAGAACAGGUGGCCCUAAGUCCCAAGAGAGGACUCCCAGGUGGCAGGGUUUCAAAAACUGUCUUCAGAAAGAAGCCUGAAUAUGCUGAGCAAUGCUGGAUACCUUCAAAGAAGAUGUGAAAUGAAAAUAUACAGCUCCUGAAUAGGAGGACAGUUCACUCAUCAAAAGGAAACGAACUCAGAACUCCUAUAAACAAACGUUAACUUGAUACACAUCCACGCAUAUUAGUGUGAUUUUUUUAACAAUUUGGUGUUGGUAUAAAUAAAAUGUCUAUGUUGGAGUUA